Molecule: unclassified non-coding RNA, 192 nt
Filed under: fungal sp.
Lineage: Eukaryota; Fungi
Description: partial internal transcribed spacer region
Rfam family: Eukaryotic small subunit ribosomal RNA (bases 1-46)
Source: RNAcentral
AAGUCGUAACAAGGUUUCCGUAGGUGAACCUGCGGAAGGAUCAUUAAAAAAAAAUGUGAACAACACUUUAACAAUGUGAACUUGGAUGUCCCCUUCUUUAGAGGGGGGCAAUAAUACUUUUUUAUAUAUAUAUAGCAGAGUCAAAAAAAAAAAAUAUAAUGACAACUUUUAGCAACGGAUCUCUAGGUUCUC